UGGGCCUGGUGGCCCAUGCUGGGCUGGGGCCUGGGGCUGAUGUCCCACGCCAUCAACCUGUUCCAGCCGUUCAGGCUGCUCGGGCCUGA
Molecule: transfer RNA, 89 nt
Filed under: Aeromonas caviae
Lineage: Bacteria; Pseudomonadati; Pseudomonadota; Gammaproteobacteria; Aeromonadales; Aeromonadaceae
Description: tRNA-Ile
Source: RNAcentral